GCCGGGUGUGGUGGUGCACACCUGUAAUCCCAGCGGUUCCGGAGGCUGAGGCAGGAGGAUGGCAAGUUCAAAGCCAGCCUCCGCAAAGGCGAGGCACUAAGUAACUCAGUGAGAUCCUGUCUCUC
RNAcentral lists this small RNA (125 nucleotides) under Marmota monax (woodchuck). The record is from RNAcentral. Lineage: Eukaryota; Metazoa; Chordata; Mammalia; Rodentia; Sciuridae.